CUACGUGUAGAUCGAUGAGAGUACCAUACGAAUAAGCAUCGGCUAACUCCGUGCCCAGCAGCCGCGGUAAUACGGAGGAUGCGAGCGUUAUCCGGGAUUUAUUGGGUUUAAAGGGUGCGUAGGCGGUUAUUGUAAGUCAGUGGUGAAAUUUUAGUGCUUAACAUUAAAAGUGCCAUAGAUACUGCAGAGCUAGAAUGGGGAUGCUGUAUGCGGAAUGUGUAGUGUAGCGGUGAAAUGCAUAGAUAUUACACAGAACACCGAUUGCGAAGGCAGCAUACAAAACCUUGAUUGACGCUGAGGCACGAAAGUGUGGGGAUCAAACAGGAUUAGAUACCCUGGUAGUCCACACAGUAAACGAUGAUAACUAGCUGUUGGCGAUACACAGUCAGUGGCUAAGCGAAAGCGAUAAGUUAUCCACCUGGGGAGUACGACCGCAAGGUUGAAACUCAAAGGAAUUGACGGGGGCCCGCACAAGCGGAGGAACAUGUGGUUUAAUUCGAUGAUACGCGAGGAACCUUACCCGGGCUCGAACGGUACAUGAACGAUUCAGAGAUGGAGAGGCCAGCAAUGGCAUGUAUCGAGGUGCUGCAUGGUUGUCGUCAGCUCGUGCCGUGAGGUGUCGGCUUAAGUGCCAUAACGAGCGCAACCCUUGUCAAUAGUUACCAUCGGGUCAAGCCGGGGACUCUAUUGAGACUGCCGCCGUAAGGUGAGAGGAGGGUGGGGAUGACGUCAAAUCAGCACGGCCCUUACGUCCGGGGCGACACACGUGUUACAAUGGUAGGUACAGAGAGGAUCUUUUUGGUGACAAAUGGGCAAUCUUAAAAACCUAUCUCAGUUCGGAUUGGAGUCUGCAACUCGACUCCAUGAAGUUGGAUUCGCUAGUAAUCGCGCAUCAGCCAUGGCGCGGUGAAUACGUUCCCGGGCCUUGUACACACCGCCCGUCAAGCCAUGGGAGCUGGGGGUGCUUGAAGAUCGCGACCGUGAGGAACGAUCAAGGC
This 998-nucleotide ribosomal RNA is filed under the name uncultured bacterium. RNAcentral's name for it is "bacterial SSU rRNA". It matches the Rfam family "Bacterial small subunit ribosomal RNA", at positions 456 to 1463 of the family's 1533-position model. The record is from RNAcentral.